This 607-nucleotide ribosomal RNA is filed under the name uncultured Verrucomicrobiota bacterium. Its description in RNAcentral is "bacterial SSU rRNA". It matches the Rfam family "Bacterial small subunit ribosomal RNA", at positions 74 to 680 of the family's 1533-position model. The record is from RNAcentral. Lineage: Bacteria; Pseudomonadati; Verrucomicrobiota.
UGGUAGCAAUACUGAGCGAAGCUAGUGGCGAACGGGUGCGUAACACAUGAGUCAUCCGCCCAGAAGUGGGGAAUAGCUCGGCGAAAGCCGGAUUAAUACCGCAUGUGGUCGUAAGACCAAAGCCGGGGCAACCUGGCGCUUUUGGAGGAGCUCGUGGCCUAUCAGCUAGUUGGUGAGGUAACGGCUUACCAAGGCAACGACGGGUAGCUGGUCUGAGAGGACGACCAGCCACACUGGUACUGAGAUACGGUCCAGACACCUACGGGUGGCAGCAGUCGAGAAUUUUUCUCAAUGGGGGAAACCCUGAAGGAGCGACGCCGCGUGGAGGAUGAAUGCUUUCGGGUUGUAAACUCCUGUCAUUUGGGAACAAGGCUUUACGUUAACUGCGUGGAGGAUUGAUAGUACCAGAAGAGGAAGAGACGGCUAACUCUGUGCCAGCAGCCGCGGUAAUACAGAGGUCUCGAGCGUUGUUCGGAUUCAUUGGGCGUAAAGGGCGCGUAGGCGGCGGGGUAAGUCUGGUGUGAAAUCUAGGAGCUCAACUCCUAAACUGCACUGGAUACUGCUUUGCUAGAGGACUGGAGAGGAGAUUGGAAUUCACGGUGUAGCA